UACUGGUUGGCUUGGGAGUUGACCUGUUUCUCUCCUCAUGGUAGACUCAGCCAAUUGUCCUAUUUGUAUUUCUAGCCUAGCGAUAGAUUGUUGUUGGGUCAUGAUCAAUUAUUGUAGUUGGUUUAAUCUAUCAUCAGCUAGAUUAGUCUGUUGAGAAGGUGGGUAUGGUGGCUGAUUUUGAUAUGGUGGCUGGAUAGAUUGACUGGGCUGACCUCUAUUGUAGGCAUAAUUUUGAUAUGGAGGCCUACUCUGAAAAUUUUGCACAGAAGGAAUUUGGGUCUGAGUCUGAGUCUGUUGAGGUCUCUAAAAAAAUUCAGGGUGGUUUCUCCAGCCUGAAUUGUAUGUCUUAGAGAAUGGAUCAUUGAUAGGUUUGGAGUAACCUUGAGCAGCUUGAACUUGUUCUUGAAUGAAAGGUGGAAACUGUGCAGCCAUGGGACAUUCGCUCACAUGAUGGGCCGGGCUAGCAUAGAUAGAACAAAUCUCCUGAUAAUUAGGUGGUGG
Molecule: long non-coding RNA, 501 nt
Filed under: Elaeis guineensis (African oil palm)
Lineage: Eukaryota; Viridiplantae; Streptophyta; Magnoliopsida; Arecales; Arecaceae
Description: long non-coding RNA (EGUI_LNC051949)
Source: RNAcentral